AUUAUUUAUAAGGGUUUAAUAUACUUUUGGUGUCUCAACUUUUUUAAAAAUUACAUUUCGGUGUUUGAACAAAAAUUUCUAACGACCGAGUAAGUGAACUUGUUAAAAACUUACAAGUUGGUUGUUAUUUCCGGUUUCGAUCCGGUAGCCCUUAAAAACGCAUGUUAUGUGGAUUAAUGAAGUUACACAUAGGCAAAUAUUAAUUAAAAUGUAUAUGACAUGGAAUUUAGGGAUUGGAGAAUUUUAAAAAGACUAAAGAGCCCUUAUAACGGAGAAGCAUACAACGAACUUCAUGGACAGAACGAAAUCCGGGACGAAAGUUUAUGACAUGCGAGAUGGGAGAUUGCAGCUAUUUUAGAUGGAACGAUGACGACAUGUGCGAAAGAGCUAAUCGAAUUAUACCUGGGUUAUUAAGAAAGAUUGGAAGUUUAGAAGCUGAACUUGCAAGAAGCUGGAAAAGAGAGAAAUUCUUAUGGGCGUGGGCAAUAUUUUCAAUUGUAAUUCUCAUCUUUAAGUGAAUUGAUUGUUGUAAUUUGAUGUAAAAUCUGUAUUGUUUGGUAGUUUUUGAGAUUUGUAAAAUGGAAAGCACUUUGUAGAUUUUUGGGUUAAUGAAA
Mercurialis annua (annual mercury) is the source of this 614-nucleotide long non-coding RNA. RefSeq lists it as uncharacterized. NCBI's taxonomy places the organism in Eukaryota, Viridiplantae, Streptophyta, Magnoliopsida, Malpighiales, Euphorbiaceae. The record is from RefSeq and is a predicted model, not a curated record. The transcript has 2 exons.